This 253-nucleotide ribosomal RNA is filed under the name uncultured bacterium. RNAcentral describes it as "partial 16S ribosomal RNA". It matches the Rfam family "Bacterial small subunit ribosomal RNA", at positions 524 to 776 of the family's 1533-position model. The record is from RNAcentral.
UACGGGGGGGGCAAGCGUUGUUCGGAAUUACUGGGCGUAAAGGGUUCGUAGGUGGCCAACUAAGUCACACGUGAAAUCCCUCGGCUUAACCGGGGAACUGCGUGUGAUACUGGAUGGCUUGAGUUUGGGAGAGGGAUGCGGAAUUCCAGGUGUAGCGGUGAAAUGCGUAGAUAUCUGGAGGAACACCGGUGGCGAAGGCGGCAUCCUGGACCAAUACUGACGCUGAGGAGCGAAAGCCAGGGGAGCAAACGGG